GUUGAUUCUGCCGGAGGCCACUGCUAUCGGAGUUCGAUUAAGCCAUGCGAGUCGAGAGGUGCAAGACCUCGGCAUACUGCUCAGUAACACGUGGACAACCUAACCUAAGGUGGGGGAUAACCCCGGGAAACUGGGGAUAAUACCCCAUAGGCUAUGAAUGCUGGAAUGCUUCGUAGUUGAAAGGUCAGCCGCCAUAGGAUGGGUCUGCGGCCGAUUAGGUAGUUGUUGGGGUAACGGCCCAACAAGCCUGUAAUCGGUACGGGUUGUGGGAGCAAGAGCCCGGAGAUGGAUUCUGAGACACGAAUCCAGGCCCUACGGGGCGCAGCAGGCGCGAAAACUUUACAAUGCGGGAAACCGUGAUAAGGGAACUCCGAGUGCCCGUUAAAUCGGGCUGUCCACCAGUUUAAAUAACUGGUGAAGAAAGGGCCGGGCAAGACCGGUGCCAGCCGCCGCGGUAAUACCGGCGGCUCGAGUGGUGGCCACUAUUACUGGGCUUAAAGCGUUCGUAGCUGGUUUGUUAAGUCUCUGGGGAAAUCUGCCGGCUCAACCGGCAGGCGUUCCAGGGAUACUGGCAGACUAGGGACCGGGAGAGGUGAGGGGUACUCCAGGGGUAGGAGUGAAAUCCUGUAAUCCUUGGGGGACCACCUGUGGCGAAGGCGCCUCACCAGAACGGCUCCGACAGUGAGGGACGAAAGCUGGGGGAGCAAACCGGAUUAGAUACCCGGGUAGUCCCAGCCGUAAACGAUGCGCGUUAGGUGUAUCGGUGACCACGAGUCACCGAGGUGCCGAAGAGAAAUCGUGAAACGUGCCGCCUGGGAAGUACGGUCGCAAGGCUGAAACUUAAAGGAAUUGGCGGGGGAGCACCACAACGG
RNAcentral lists this ribosomal RNA (872 nucleotides) under uncultured archaeon. RNAcentral describes it as "bacterial SSU rRNA". It matches the Rfam family "Archaeal small subunit ribosomal RNA", at positions 7 to 887 of the family's 1478-position model. The record is from RNAcentral.